CACCUGCAUGCGCUGAAUUCCAUUAGGAAGCGGGGGAACCAUCUUUUUGGGGUGAACCUCAUGGAUUAUGAGGAGGGAGACUCUUUCUUCCUAACCCGUCAGCUAACCUCGUAAGCGUUAAAGAGGGGUGGU
This 132-nucleotide small RNA is filed under the name Caldalkalibacillus thermarum. RNAcentral describes it as "c-di-AMP sequence". It matches the Rfam family "c-di-AMP riboswitch aptamer (ydaO/yuaA leader)". Rfam says of the family: This family represents a conserved RNA structure found upstream of the ydaO and yuaA genes in Bacillus subtilis and related genes in other bacteria. The ydaO/yuaA element is thought to act as a genetic "off" switch for the ydaO and yuaA genes in its native state. RNAcentral also lists the same sequence under 1 other name. The record is from RNAcentral. Lineage: Bacteria; Bacillati; Bacillota; Bacilli; Caryophanales; Bacillaceae.